AACGAACGCUGGCGGCAGGCCUAACACAUGCAAGUCGAGCGGACCCUUCGGGGUUAGCGGCGGACGGGUGAGUAACGCGUGGGAAUAUGCCCUUCUCUACGGAAUAGUCCUGGGAAACUGGGGGUAAUACCGUAUACGCCCUUUGGGGGAAAGAUUUAUCGGGGAAGGAUUAGCCCGCGUUGGAUUAGGUAGUUGGUGGGGUAAUGGCCUACCAAGCCGACGAUCCAUAGCUGGUUUGAGAGGAUGAUCAGCCACACUGGGACUGAGACACGGCCCAGACUCCUACGGGAGGCAGCAGUGGGGAAUCUUAGACAAUGGGGGCAACCCUGAUCUAGCCAUGCCGCGUGAGUGAUGAAGGCCUUAGGGUUGUAAAGCUCUUUCAGCUGGGAAGAUAAUGACGGUACCAGCAGAAGAAGCCCCGGCUAACUCCAUG
RNAcentral lists this ribosomal RNA (433 nucleotides) under uncultured bacterium. Its description in RNAcentral is "partial 16S ribosomal RNA". It matches the Rfam family "Bacterial small subunit ribosomal RNA", at positions 29 to 507 of the family's 1533-position model. The record is from RNAcentral.